This 505-nucleotide ribosomal RNA is filed under the name uncultured methanogenic archaeon. RNAcentral's name for it is "bacterial SSU rRNA". It matches the Rfam family "Archaeal small subunit ribosomal RNA", at positions 28 to 532 of the family's 1478-position model. Lineage: Archaea; Methanobacteriati; Methanobacteriota. The record is from RNAcentral.
UGCUAUCGGUGUUCGCCUAAGCCAUGCGAGUCAUAUGUUCUUCGUGAACAUGGCGUACUGCUCAGUAACACGUGGAUAACCUGCCCUUGGGUCCGGCAUAACCCCGGGAAACUGGGGAUAAUUCCGGAUAACGCAUAUAUGCUGGAAUGCUUUAUGCGUGAAAUGGAUUCGUCUGCCCAAGGAUGGGUCUGCGGCCUAUCAGGUAGUAGUGGGUGUAAUGUACCUACUAGCCGACGACGGGUACGGGUUGUGAGAGCAAGAGCCCGGAGAUGGAUUCUGAGACAUGAAUCCAGGCCCUACGGGGCGCAGCAGGCGCGAAAACUUUACAAUGCGGGAAACCGUGAUAAGGGGACACCGAGUGCCAGCAUCAUAUGCUGGCUGUCCAGGUGUGUAAACUACACCUGUUAGCAAGGGCCGGGCAAGACCGGUGCCAGCCGCCGCGGUAACACCGGCGGCCCGAGUGGUGAUCGUGAUUAUUGGGUCUAAAGGGUCCGUAGCCGGUUUG